This 669-nucleotide ribosomal RNA is filed under the name Vibrionaceae bacterium GUDS1295. RNAcentral's name for it is "bacterial SSU rRNA". It matches the Rfam family "Bacterial small subunit ribosomal RNA", at positions 64 to 722 of the family's 1533-position model. Lineage: Bacteria; Pseudomonadati; Pseudomonadota; Gammaproteobacteria; Vibrionales; Vibrionaceae. The record is from RNAcentral.
GAGUUAACUGAACCUUCGGGGAACGUUAACGGCGUCGAGCGGCGGACGGGUGAGUAAUGCCUGGGAAAUUGCCCUGAUGUGGGGGAUAACCAUUGGAAACGAUGGCUAAUACCGCAUAAUAGCUUCGGCUCAAAGAGGGGGACCUUCGGGCCUCUCGCGUCAGGAUAUGCCCAGGUGGGAUUAGCUAGUUGGUGAGGUAAUGGCUCACCAAGGCGACGAUCCCUAGCUGGUCUGAGAGGAUGAUCAGCCACACUGGAACUGAGACACGGUCCAGACUCCUACGGGAGGCAGCAGUGGGGAAUAUUGCACAAUGGGCGCAAGCCUGAUGCAGCCAUGCCGCGUGUGUGAAGAAGGCCUUCGGGUUGUAAAGCACUUUCAGCAGUGAGGAAGGCGGUGUCGUUAAUAGCGGCAUCAUUUGACGUUAGCUGCAGAAGAAGCACCGGCUAACUCCGUGCCAGCAGCCGCGGUAAUACGGAGGGUGCGAGCGUUAAUCGGAAUUACUGGGCGUAAAGCGCAUGCAGGUGGUUAGUUAAGUCAGAUGUGAAAGCCCGGGGCUCAACCUCGGAACUGCAUUUGAAACUGGCUGACUAGAGUACUGUAGAGGGGGGUAGAAUUUCAGGUGUAGCGGUGAAAUGCGUAGAGAUCUGAAGGAAUACCGGUGGCGAAGGC